Molecule: small RNA, 647 nt
Filed under: Pongo abelii (Sumatran orangutan)
Lineage: Eukaryota; Metazoa; Chordata; Mammalia; Primates; Hominidae
Description: retained intron
Source: RNAcentral
GGCUUGCGGGCUCCAGGCAGCCCCGCGUUUCCUGUCCAGUGGCUUCACACCUCACCAGCCCGCAGGGGUGACUGUGGGAGUUGGUGGCGCGUGACGGGCGUGUGUGGCCGGGCUCCUCCGGCAGGGAGGUGAUGAGCACACCAGUGACCUGCCUGAGGCGGCGUGAGAAGGUCGGCGUCAUUGUGGACGUGCUGAGCGACACGGCGUCCAAUCACAACGGCUUCCCUGUGGUGGAGCAUGCCGAUGACACCCAGCCUGCCCGGCUCCAGGGCCUGAUCCUGCGCUCCCAGCUCAUCGUUCUCCUAAAGCACAAGGUGUUUGUGGAGCGGUCCAACAUGGGCCUGGUGCAGCGGCGCCUGAGGCUGAAGGACUUCCGCGAUGCCUACCCGCGCUUCCCGCCCAUCCAGUCCAUCCACGUGUCCCAGGACGAGCGGGAGUGCACCAUGGACCUCUCCGAGUUCAUGAACCCCUCCCCUUACACGGUGCCCCAGGAGGCGUCGCUCCCACGGGUGUUCAAGCUGUUCCGGGCCCUGGGCCUGCGGCACCUGGUGGUGGUGGACAACCGCAAUCAGGUUGUCGGGUUGGUGACCAGGAAGGACCUCGCCAGGUACCGCCUGGGAAAGGGAGGCUUGGAGGAGCUCUCGCUG